RNA transcript from Pyrus x bretschneideri (Chinese white pear), 714 nucleotides. RefSeq lists it as uncharacterized. The transcript has 2 exons. The record is from RefSeq and is a predicted model, not a curated record. Lineage: Eukaryota; Viridiplantae; Streptophyta; Magnoliopsida; Rosales; Rosaceae.
UUUUUCUAUUAUUUUCAUGGUAUCCAGUAUUAGUCGGUAGUAUAUUCAAAUCAAAUCCAACCCAAAACCAAAAGCUUCUCUCUUUUUGCAUCAUUUCAUUUUAAAUUUCAAAGCUUUCAAUUUGUCCAUGCUAUCAAUAUCACCAUUUUUCUAUGUUUCUUGGUUAGAGCUUAUUGCUUUUAGUGUUAAACUGCUUGAGGACUUCAGAAGAUUAGGCGGCUUUCAUCAGAAGAGUAGAGAGCGAGAAGGCGCCAGAAGAAGGGGGCCAACCAAAGCGCGGGGCUGCGAGUGCGAGUCGGCCAGGUUUUCUUGUUAAGUCUUUACUGAAAUUAUUCAAAUAUCCUCACUUAAUGGGUGCUAUCGGAUGCUAAUAGGUUUCGUUGGUUGAUCCAAGAUAACCCAUUAUUUAACGGAUGAGUAACGGAUUCACCCGUUAAUAACCCGACCCAUUAAGCAUCUACCGGAAUACUAAUUUAAGCGGAUGGAUGGGUCGGGUGUAAAAUCCUUCCAACCCGAUUAUUCUGAUGUCCUUCUCGAUGUUGAGUUUCUUGUAAUUACUGAGCUUUUUUUGUGAGCCAUAAACUUGCCCCAAUUUUAAGGCCUAUGCUAUACUUGGCAGGGUUCUGGUCACUAAUGAGCUUCUUCAAUGGCUGGAUUUGGGUGGUGUGAUUGUUUGAGGAAGUAAGAAAUCGAAAACCUAUCAUUCUCGGAUUU